GGCGCGGUAGCUCAGUUGGUUAGAGCGAUCGACUCAUAAUCGAUAGGUCGGGAGUUCAAGUCUCCCUCACGCCACCA
RNAcentral lists this transfer RNA (77 nucleotides) under Gammaproteobacteria bacterium. RNAcentral's name for it is "tRNA-Met". It matches the Rfam family "tRNA". From Rfam's summary of the family: Transfer RNA (tRNA) molecules are approximately 80 nucleotides in length. RNAcentral also lists the same sequence under 5 other names. The record is from RNAcentral. Lineage: Bacteria; Pseudomonadati; Pseudomonadota; Gammaproteobacteria.